GUUAGGAAUCUUGCGCAAUGGACGAAAGUCUGACGCAGCGACGCCGCGUGCGGGAUGAAGGCCUUCGGGUUGUAAACCGCUUUCAGCAGGGACGAAAUUGACGGUACCUGCAGAAGAAGCCCCGGCCAACUACGUGCCAGCAGCCGCGGUAAUACGUAGGGGGCAAGCGUUGUCCGGAUUUAUUGGGCGUAAAGAGCUCGUAGGUGGUUCGGUAAGUCGGAUGUGAAAUCUCCAGGCUCAACCUGGAGGGGUCAUUCGAUACUGCCGUGACUAGAGGUCGGUAGGGGAGUGUGGAAUUCCUGGUGGAGCGGUGAAAUGCGCAGAUAUCAGGAGGAACACCCGUAGCGAAGGCGGCACUCUGGGCCGAUACUGACACUGAGGAGCGAAAGCGUGGGGAGCGAACAGGAUUAGAAACCCGGGUAGUCC
Molecule: ribosomal RNA, 426 nt
Filed under: uncultured bacterium
Lineage: Bacteria
Description: bacterial SSU rRNA
Rfam family: Bacterial small subunit ribosomal RNA
Source: RNAcentral